ACACAUGCAGUCGAGCGGUAACAGGUCCAGCUUGCUGGAUGCUGACGAGCGGCGGACGGGUGAGUAAUGCAUAGGAAUCUGCCCGAUAGUGGGGGAUAACCUGGGGAAACCCAGGCUAAUACCGCAUACGUCCUACGGGAGAAAGGGGGCUCCGGCUCCCGCUAUGGGAUGAGCCUAUGUCGGAUUAGCUAGUUGGUGAGGUAACGGCUCACCAAGGCCACGAUCCGUAGCUGGUCUGAGAGGAUGAUCAGCCACAUCGGGACUGAGACACGGCCCGAACUCCUACGGGAGGCAGCAGUGGGGAAUAUUGGACAAUGGGGGAAACCCUGAUCCAGCCAUGCCGCGUGUGUGAAGAAGGCCCUCGGGUUGUAAAGCACUUUCAGCGAGGAAGAACGCCUAGCGGUUAAUACCCGCUAGGAAAGACAUCACUCGCAGAAGAAGCACCGGCUAACUCCGUGCCAGCAGCCGCGGUAAUACGGAGGGUGCAAGCGUUAAUCGGAAUUACUGGGCGUAAAGCGCGCGUAGGUGGCUUGAUAAGCCGGUUGUGAAAGCCCCGGGCUCAACCUGGGAACGGCAUCCGGAACUGUCAAGCUAGAGUGCAGGAGAGGAAGGUAGAAUUCCCGGUGUAGCGGUGAAAUGCGUAGAGAUCGGGAGGAAUACCAGUGGCGAAGGCGGCCUUCUGGACUGACACUGACACUGAGGUGCGAAAGCGUGGGUAGCAAACAGGAUUAGAUACCCUGGUAGUCCACGCCGUAAACGAUGUCGACCAGCCGUUGGGUGCCUAGCGCACUUUGUGGCGAAGUUAACGCGAUAAGUCGACCGCCUGGGGAGUACGGCCGCAAGGUUAAAACUCAAAUGAAUUGACGGGGCCCGCACAAGCGGUGGAGCAUGUGGUUUAAUUCGAUGCAACGC
This 912-nucleotide ribosomal RNA is filed under the name uncultured bacterium. RNAcentral describes it as "bacterial SSU rRNA". It matches the Rfam family "Bacterial small subunit ribosomal RNA", at positions 51 to 962 of the family's 1533-position model. The record is from RNAcentral.